CACAUAGGUUUGGUCCUGACCUUGAAAUCAACUCUCACUUGACUUACACAUGCAAGUAUCUGCAUACCCGUGAAAACGCCCCCCCCUCCACUCGAGGGUGGGGAGCUGAUAUCAGGCACUACACCUGCCCAAGACAUCUAGCCCCGCCACUCCCACAAGGGUCCUCAGCAGUGAUUAACAUUAAAAAUGAACGCCAGUUCGAAUUAGCCAAUGUAAAUAGAGCCGGCCAAUCUGGUGCCAGCCGCCGCGGUUACACCACGUGGCUCAAAUUGAUUUCAACACGGCGUAAAGAGUGAUUAAAGAAACAAACUACUGGGGUAAAACUUAAACUAAGCUGUAGCAUGCUUGUUUGUAUGAGAACCUGAUUCGUAAGAUACCCCACCCCCCCACCAACUUGAACUCACGAUAACUAAGACACAAACUGGGAUUAGAUACCCCACUAUGCUUAGUCAUAAACUUUAAAUUACACCCCCCCCAUCGCCAGGGAACUACGAGCAAAGCUUAAAACCCAAAGGACUUGACGGUACUCCACAUCCCCCUAGAGGAGCCUGUCCUAUAACCGAUACCCCCCGUUUAACCUCACCACUUUUAGUUUUUCAGCCUGUAUACUUCCGUCGCCAGCUUACCGCGUGAGCGAGUUAAGUAAGCUUAAUGUCCCCCCACAAAACGUCAGGUCAAAGUGCAGUAAAUAAAGUGGCAAGAGAUGGGCUACACUUUCUAACAUAGAAAACACGAAAGACUACAUGAAAUUGUACUCAGAAGGUGGAUUUAGUAGUAAGGGGGUAGUAGAGUGCUCCCCUUAACCCGGCACUGGAGUGUGUACACACCGCCCGUCACCCUCUUCGUCAAAACUCAUUCAGUAAUUAACAAUAGCUACCAAAAAGAAGAGGUAAGUC
This 896-nucleotide non-coding RNA is filed under the name Pristimantis crucifer. Lineage: Eukaryota; Metazoa; Chordata; Amphibia; Anura; Strabomantidae. The record is from RNAcentral.